CCACAGAAGGGGUGCAGCCAAUGUAGUGCCUUCCAGGUGUUUUUUGACUCCCAGCUUCUACCAGCAUGGCCAAUGGCCUACGGCAAGAUGACUGUGGUUACAAGUGGAGCAAGGAUUGCAUGUCACUCCCUUGAAUGUUGAACUCUCUUCUGUGCUUGGAGUUAACAGUCUGAAAAAGAAAAAUGUACAGAGCCAAAUAUAGCCCAGAAAUUCUCCUACCCAUCACAAGAAUCUGUCUAAGGGAACAUGGACUUAACCUUGACUUUGGGGUCAAUGCUUUCUGCAAAGUGUACAGUCAGCAGAGAGUACGGGGGAAAAUCAAUGUGGAACAUAUUACCGAAUAUGAUGCUCAGACGUUACUGCUUGGAAGUCAUGCCUGGAGAUGGAAGCAGCAGAGGUUAUUUUAAAAGGAGAGCAUGUCAAAGGAGCUCUUUCAUUUGGUGUGCUUGCUUCUUAUUCUUCAUCAGUUUUUGACCGCAGCCUCUCCUCUCUCUUUUGUGAAGAGGUUUCUUUUAUGUUUCAGCCUUCAACUCGCUGGGAGGCUAAGUGGAGUCAUGGCUGUCUCCCUUAGCUUCACUGGGGCUGGGUAGCUGGCAAUGGAAUUAAUAGGCUAGUUUUUUAUUUAGAGCAUGUAUAAACCAGUUGCUCAACAACUUCUCCAAGUGGUGUACAAGUCCUAUUCUUUACAGAGAAUGAAUAAAAUAAAAAAGAAUUAUUAUUAA
This is a long non-coding RNA of Podarcis raffonei (Aeolian wall lizard), 722 nucleotides long. RefSeq lists it as uncharacterized. The record is from RefSeq and is a predicted model, not a curated record. NCBI's taxonomy places the organism in Eukaryota, Metazoa, Chordata, Lepidosauria, Squamata, Lacertidae. The transcript has 3 exons.